Molecule: ribosomal RNA, 253 nt
Filed under: uncultured bacterium
Lineage: Bacteria
Description: partial 16S ribosomal RNA
Rfam family: Bacterial small subunit ribosomal RNA
Source: RNAcentral
UUCGGGGGGGGCAAGCGUUGUUCGGAAUUACUGGGCGUAAAGGGCUCGUAGGCGGCCAACUAAGUCGGAUGUGAAAUCCCCAGGCUUAACCUGGGAACUGCAUCCGAUACUGGAUGGCUUGAAUCCGGGAGAGGGAUGCGGAAUUCCAGGUGUAGCGGUGAAAUGCGUAGAUAUCUGGAGGAACACCGGUGGCGAAGGCGGCAUCCUGGACCGGCAUUGACGCUGAGGAGCGAAAGCCAGGGGAGCAAACGGG